AACGAACGCUGGCGGCAUGCCUAACACAUGCAAGUCGAGCGGAUGAUUCGAGCUUGCUCGUGCACUCAGCGGUGGCCGGGUGGGUAAUGCCCAUGAAUUUGGCUUGACUUGGGGGAUAAGGUCCUGAUACGGGCGCUUAUACUCCAUCCGACCAUUGGUCGAAUGUGGGUGAGCCUGCGAUGUCUUGCCUUCAUGUGAGGCUAGGUGGGUAUAGCUAGUUGGAGGGGUAACGGCUUACCAAGGCGACGAUGCUUAACUGGUCUGAGAGGAUGAUCAGGCACACGGGAACUGAGACACGGCCCAGACUCCGACGGGAAGAAGCAGUGGGGAAUAUUGGACGAUGGGGGAAAGGCUGAUCCUGCAAUGCCGCCUGUGUGAAGAAGGUCUUCGGAUUGUAAAGCACUUUAGGUUGGGAGGAAGGGCAGUAAGUUAAUACCUGGCUGUAUUGACGGUACCGGCAGAAUAAGCACCGGCUAACUUCGUG
Molecule: ribosomal RNA, 484 nt
Filed under: uncultured bacterium
Lineage: Bacteria
Description: partial 16S ribosomal RNA
Rfam family: Bacterial small subunit ribosomal RNA
Source: RNAcentral